This 337-nucleotide ribosomal RNA is filed under the name uncultured bacterium. RNAcentral's name for it is "bacterial SSU rRNA". It matches the Rfam family "Bacterial small subunit ribosomal RNA", at positions 8 to 334 of the family's 1533-position model. The record is from RNAcentral.
AGGGUUUGAUUAUGGCUCAGGAUGAACGCUAGCUACAGGCUUAACACAUGCAAGUCGAGGGGAAACGACAUUGAAAGCUUGCUUUUGAUGGGCGUCGACCGGCGCACGGGUGAGUAACGCGUAUCCAACCUGCCCAUCACUUGGGGAUAACCUUGCGAAAGUAAGACUAAUACCCGAUGAUAUCUCUAGACGACAUCUGAAAGGGAUUAAAGAUUUAUCGGUGAUGGAUGGGGAUGCGUCUGAUUAGCUUGUUGGCGGGGUAACGGCCCACCAAGGCAACGAUCAGUAGGGGUUCUGAGAGGAAGGUCCCCCACAUUGGAACUGAGACACGGUCCAA